This 234-nucleotide long non-coding RNA is filed under the name Elaeis guineensis (African oil palm). RNAcentral describes it as "long non-coding RNA (EGUI_LNC037409)". The record is from RNAcentral. Lineage: Eukaryota; Viridiplantae; Streptophyta; Magnoliopsida; Arecales; Arecaceae.
GAAUCCUGAAGGUCAUGCACAGCAAUAGGGUGAUAUUGGAGGGAAAGAAUAUUAGAGGAGGAUAUUACAACCUAGCAAAGAGCACAGUAUGAGGUGGAGCUUCAGGAGCCAGAGGAGCCCACUGCAAGGUGGGCUCCAGAUAGAGGUGGAUCAGGCAUGAGAUGAAAAACUCGAGAGGAUGAGAGACGAUAUUAUAGAGUGAAGUUUCUAUUAUCGCAGGAGACUUCUCUGAGC